Molecule: ribosomal RNA, 588 nt
Filed under: Triticum aestivum (bread wheat)
Lineage: Eukaryota; Viridiplantae; Streptophyta; Magnoliopsida; Poales; Poaceae
Description: partial small subunit ribosomal RNA
Source: RNAcentral
AUGGCUGGAAAGGAUAAUGAAGAAAUUCUGCGCGUGGUUCAACCAAGGGUGACAAAAGAGAUGAAUGAUAUACUGUGUGCUGAGUAUACAGAGGAGGAGGUGAAACUGGCCUUAGACAACAUAGGUGACCUGAAAGCACCAGGACCUGAUGGUAUGCCAGCCAUAUUCUUUAAAAGAUUUUGGCAAAUUGUUGGGAACCAGGUCACAAAGGAGGUUCUUCAAAUAUUGAGAGGAGGAGAAAUGCCUGAAGGGUGGAAUGAUAUGCUAAUAGUAUUAAUUCCGAAGAAUGCCAACCCAGCAAGCAUAAAGGAUUUGAGACCAAUCAGUUUGUGUAAUGUGGUGUAUAAGCUGGUCUCUAAGGUAAUCACAAACAGGCUUAAGGUAAUUAUUCCCGAUAUCAUCUCCCCUAACCAGAGCGCCUUCGUGCCAGGGAGGCUAAUUUCGGAUAAUAUUCUUUUGGCAUAUGAGCUAACUCAUUUCCUGCAGAGGAGAAGAAGCGGCUUGAUGGGCUAUGCAGCUGUCAAAUUGGAUAUGAGCAAAGCCUAUGAUCGUGUUGAAUGGACAUUUUUAAAAGAUAUGAUGCAAUGA